RNAcentral lists this ribosomal RNA (252 nucleotides) under uncultured bacterium. Its description in RNAcentral is "partial 16S ribosomal RNA". It matches the Rfam family "Bacterial small subunit ribosomal RNA", at positions 524 to 776 of the family's 1533-position model. The record is from RNAcentral.
UACAGAGGUCUCAAGCGUUGUUCGGAUUCAUUGGGCGUAAAGGGUGCGCAGGCUGCGAGGCAAGUCGGACGUGAAAUCCCGGGCUUAACCCCGGAACUGCGUUCGAUACUGCCUUGCUCGAGGACUGGAGAGGAGACUGGAAUUCCUGGUGUAGCAGUGAAAUGCGUAGAUAUCGGUAGGAACACCAGUGGCGAAGGCGGUUUCCUGGAGCUAACUUGACGCUGAGACGCGAAAGCUGGGGGAGCAAACGGG